AUUGAACGCUGGCGGCAUGCCUUACACAUGCAAGUCGAACGGCAGCAUGGAGAGCUUGCUCUCUGAUGGCGAGUGGCGAACGGGUGAGUAAUGCAUCGGAACGUACCGUGUAAUGGGGGAUAACGUAGCGAAAGUUACGCUAAUACCGCAUACGACCUGAGGGUGAAAGCAGGGGAUCGCAAGACCUUGCGUUACACGAGCGGCCGAUGUCAGAUUAGCUAGUUGGUGAGGUAGAGGCUCACCAAGGCGACGAUCUGUAGCGGGUCUGAGAGGAUGAUCCGCCACACUGGGACUGAGACACGGCCCAGACUCCUACGGGGGCAGCAGUGGGGAAUUUUGGACAAUGGGGGCAACCCUGAUCCAGCCAUGCCGCGUGAGUGAAGAAGGCCUUCGGGUUGUAAAGCUCUUUCGGCCGGGAAGAAAUCGCACAGGCUAAUACUCUGUGUGGAUGACGGUACCGGCAUAAGAAGCACCGGCUAACUACGUGCCAGCCGCCGCCGUAA
Molecule: ribosomal RNA, 503 nt
Filed under: uncultured bacterium
Lineage: Bacteria
Description: partial 16S ribosomal RNA
Rfam family: Bacterial small subunit ribosomal RNA
Source: RNAcentral